Molecule: ribosomal RNA, 433 nt
Filed under: Microctonus aethiopoides
Lineage: Eukaryota; Metazoa; Arthropoda; Insecta; Hymenoptera; Braconidae
Description: eukaryotic LSU rRNA
Source: RNAcentral
GUAAACCUGAGAAACCCAAAAGAUCGAAUGAGGAGAUUCAUCGUCAGCACACCUAGUAUAUGUGCAAGUUAUGAUACGAGUUAUUAUUCUUGUAGUAAUGCUUGUACGUUCUUGUAUUAUUUUUGCUGGGAGUUGUCGGCGUGCACUUCUCCUCUAGUAGGACGUCGCGACCCGUUGGGUGUCGUUCUAUGACCCGGAUGGUAGCCUUUAUUUCUUUAUUGAUUUAAAGACCACUGGUGAUCUGAUCGGCUGCCCGGCGGUAUUCGCACGGUAUUGAGUCGCAAUUAUAAUUUAUUUGCGUUGAGCCCGUUGCAAGCGCGGCCAUUCUCCCGGUAGUGCGGAUUUAAUGCCGUCAUUGGGGCUGGCCAGCUGUUGGUUGACGGUGUUCUUUAACUGGCUCAUUUAUUACCGGUCAGCGACGCUAUUGCUUUGG